RNAcentral lists this ribosomal RNA (446 nucleotides) under uncultured Nitrosomonas sp. RNAcentral's name for it is "bacterial SSU rRNA". It matches the Rfam family "Bacterial small subunit ribosomal RNA", at positions 170 to 577 of the family's 1533-position model. Lineage: Bacteria; Pseudomonadati; Pseudomonadota; Betaproteobacteria; Nitrosomonadales; Nitrosomonadaceae. The record is from RNAcentral.
CUCACUAUAGGGCGAAUUGAAUUUAGCGGCCGCGAAUUCGCCCUUCGGGGAGAAAAGCAGGGGAUCGAAAGACCUUAUGCUUUUGGAGCGGCCGAUGUCUGAUUAGCUAGUUGGUAAGGUAAUGGCUUACCAAGGCAACGAUCAGUAGUUGGUCUGAGAGGACGACCAGCCACACUGGGACUGAGACACGGCCCAGACUCCUACGGGAGGCAGCAGUGGGGAAUUUUGGACAAUGGGCGCAAGCCUGAUCCAGCAAUGCCGCGUGAGUGAAGAAGGCCUUCGGGUUGUAAAGCUCUUUCAGUUGAGAAGAAAAGAUUGUGACUAAUAAUUGCAAUUCAUGACGGUAUCAACAGAAGAAGCACCGGCUAACUACGUGCCAGCAGCCGCGGUAAUACGUAGGGUGCGAGCGUUAAUCGGAAUUACUGGGCGUAAAGGGUGCGCAGGCG